This is a long non-coding RNA of Chelonia mydas (Green sea turtle), 638 nucleotides long. RefSeq lists it as uncharacterized. Lineage: Eukaryota; Metazoa; Chordata; Testudines; Cheloniidae. The transcript is spliced from 2 exons. The record is from RefSeq and is a predicted model, not a curated record.
GCCCACCCCCACUUUCUCUCCUUGCCCCCAGCCCUGGAGCGCGGCUUGAGCUGCUCGCCCGGCUCAGCAUCAGGGCUGCGCCGCUGCGGCUGCUUCCCGCGUCCCCCCAGGGCCGCUGCCGCCGGGACAGCGCUAACCAGGGGGCUGGCGCCUUUGCGCACCGCGGACAGCGCCGCAGCCAGAGCAACGGAGCCGCCGCAGACCUACCGGCCGCCGGUCCCCAGUGCUGCAGGGGGCUCCCGACGGGCUCGCCUGGAGGCAGCGCGGGCGGCUCCCUGGCCUAACCGCUCCCCCACCGCCCCCCACCCCAGUUGUGCUGGGUAGUCAACUGCAGAAAAAAUAUAAAAGCCAUUUGGCCCCAUUCUCUUGUCAGCUCCACCCUGGUGACUGCAAUUGAGGUGAAAUGGUUCAAAUAAGAGGACAAUACAGUCCAAUGAUACUGCAAGAAGGUCAUUACAUCAGUAGUUACAAACAAACAUAAAAACUUAUGCUGACAAUACAAUAAGGCAUUCUACAUCUCUCCAUUCUUUUUCUAUAAAAAUCCUUAGUUCAGUGAAAAGAUGCAAGAUAGGCAAGGGAGAAAAAAAAAACUAGCUGAUAAUAAAUUAUGCUAACAUAGUAAGAAUAGACCACACUAA